AAUUAAUUUUAACGUCGCACAUAUACCGACACAUGUUUUCUGGGUGCUCUGCUGGGUUUUUGUCCAAGAGGGUUGAAUCAUGGGGUGUAUGGAGGCCUAAC
RNAcentral lists this small RNA (101 nucleotides) under marine eukaryotic metagenome. RNAcentral's name for it is "t44 RNA". It matches the Rfam family "t44 RNA". Rfam says of the family: This family consists of a number of bacterial RNA genes of between 135 and 170 bases in length. The record is from RNAcentral.